Molecule: non-coding RNA, 84 nt
Filed under: Pseudomonas corrugata
Lineage: Bacteria; Pseudomonadati; Pseudomonadota; Gammaproteobacteria; Pseudomonadales; Pseudomonadaceae
Source: RNAcentral
UGUAAUGGCGGUUGUGCGCGGGAGACCUUCGGGUCUGCCGGUUAAGAGGUCCGGUCUGCUAACCCGCGUACAGCCGCCACCCUU